Molecule: long non-coding RNA, 478 nt
Organism: Lycium barbarum (goji berry)
Lineage: Eukaryota; Viridiplantae; Streptophyta; Magnoliopsida; Solanales; Solanaceae
Exons: 2
Source: RefSeq, a predicted model, not a curated record
GAUCACAAAGCCUAGUCUCACUUUCUUUUCCUCACCAGCCGCCACACCCCUUCCCGCUUUCCAGUUACUUCCAUCAACCACUGAUUGAGAAAAAAGGUUUCAAGCUAUUGAUACUUCUAUCGUGCUUUUUAGGAAAGAUUAAUGGAAGAAAAAUAGGCCGAUUGGUGGAAUUGUUAAGAGUAUUAUCAAUCAAGUGACUCGAUAUUGAUCAAAAUAAGAUGCAUUUGGAGACCAUUGGAGGAGAGAAUGGAGAUGACUGUGCGGUUUUGAGUCUCAACGAAGAUAGUAAUCCUACAAUUGGCGUCGCAGAAGAAUUAUGUAUAGGGAAUGUUGUUAAAUUUAAAUAGUAUAUAACUGUGUAACUUGAAACUUAUAAUCAAGGUUUCUUUUUAAAUUCUUAGCGACAUUGUAAAAAAUAUUGUGACUAAAUAUGCUUCUGGCAAAUACUUCACUUUGUAGCAAUGUAAUCUCUUAAUUU